CAGCUUGAAGAGAAAGAAGAGGUGAGGCAGUUUCCCCCACUCCCUCACCAAUGUGGAGGCUUCGCCUUUUUCCUUCAUGUCGUAGUCUCUCCCCAUCCCCAACACUCCCGCAAUUCCUGGACCAGAUAGGGAGCCUGGCAAGCCCUUUCUGGGAGAACCUGGAACUCUAGGUCAUCGACGUCCUGCCCACGGUUUGACCUGCCUUCCCCCUCGACCGUCCGUCCUCCCCCGCUUUUCACAACUCUCAAGAUUCGAUAUCUAAUCUCCUGUUUGUGCCCAAAAGAGAAAAAAGGGAAGAAUCUCCACACGUUAGGCCUUGUUAAACCUUUAGACCUCCA
This 338-nucleotide long non-coding RNA is filed under the name Rattus norvegicus (Norway rat). RNAcentral describes it as "long non-coding RNA NONRATT028427". Lineage: Eukaryota; Metazoa; Chordata; Mammalia; Rodentia; Muridae. The record is from RNAcentral.